Long non-coding RNA from Ipomoea nil (Japanese morning glory), 725 nucleotides. RefSeq lists it as uncharacterized. Lineage: Eukaryota; Viridiplantae; Streptophyta; Magnoliopsida; Solanales; Convolvulaceae. The record is from RefSeq and is a predicted model, not a curated record. The transcript is spliced from 2 exons.
GCCUAUCGGGCGAGGGAAUUUCGCCUUUCGUUCAGAAACCAAAAAGGUGAUUGGACAUUUAAUUCCUUGGAAUUCAUGUUGGUGAUAAAUGCAGGCAGUUGAUAAGUUGAUAAACAAGAACUGUUAUUGUGGAAAAUAAUGGAACAGUAAAAGAAAAUGAGAGACCUGGAAAAAGGAGGAGGAGAAGGCGACGAGGAAGGUGGCGGCGGCCCAGAGGAAAGCUCCAUAGGCAAUAACAUGAGCUCGGUUAUGGCGGACUGAAAGAUAGGCUGCAAGAGGGUAGCAAAGAGACUGUACAAUCGAGCGGAAAAGGGUGAGCGAGCCCAGGCGGGUAGGGUCGGCGUGAAGGGCCUCUCCGACCUCCUUGUAAACUCCGGGAAGCAAUGACUCGUCGGCGCGUUCCAUAAUUCCGGCCAAAUUCACGAGCAGUAAGACCAAGGAAGAGCUGCAAUUUUCAAAACCCGGAGUGAAUACUGGAAUGUUGGACCUUGGACAGGUGGUGUUUCUUGUUCUUGACAGAUGUUUCAUACUUUGAAAAUCAUGUCAGAGGUCUUCCAUGGGAGCAAGAAAGCUUCUUUUUUAUUAUUAUUAUUAUUUUUAGUCAGUUAAUGGCGGUUGAAACAUUCCAUUGUUUCAAACACUGACUAUUAGAUCAAACAAACAUUAAUUUAGUACAAGUCAAACAUUAAUUUUAAUAAGCACAGCUGAGUCACUUUUUCUGGAAA